UUUCUGUUUGCCGUUAAUCGUCCGUCUCCCGCACAGUAGGUGUGUUUGUUCCACUACUGUUGCUAACUUCAAUUAGGUCGCCGCGAGCCCGAGGUAGAUGUUUGUUCGAUUGUAGCCGGAAGGAAAACUAGAUUUUGAGUAUCGUUUGGAGCAACAUACUUUGAAAUCGUUUUUCAUUCACUCCCGGAGGGCGUGAACAUAAGCUCAAAAUCUACCUGCCGUAGUAUGACGACAUACAAAUACCCGUGCUGCGAUCAAGGCGAGGACUACGAUGCCAGUGUCCUGUGCGAUAAGUGUCGUGAAUGGUACCAUUUCGAAUGUGUGGGCGUCGACGACAGUGUGGACGAAGUCGUCUGGUACUGUGGAACCUGCCUAGGCGAGGAUUGUUCCAUCCGUGCUUCAUUGGGUGCCCCCGGCAAGACCGCCAUUUCUCCAAUGGUAUUCGCACA
Armigeres subalbatus is the source of this 449-nucleotide long non-coding RNA. RefSeq lists it as uncharacterized. The record is from RefSeq and is a predicted model, not a curated record. The transcript has 3 exons. NCBI's taxonomy places the organism in Eukaryota, Metazoa, Arthropoda, Insecta, Diptera, Culicidae.